RNAcentral lists this ribosomal RNA (403 nucleotides) under uncultured bacterium. RNAcentral's name for it is "partial 16S ribosomal RNA". It matches the Rfam family "Bacterial small subunit ribosomal RNA", at positions 28 to 526 of the family's 1533-position model. The record is from RNAcentral.
GACGAACGCUGGCGGCGUGCCUAAUACAUGCAAGUCGAACGCAGUGGGGACGGGUGAGUAACACGUGGGUAACCUCCCAUCAGAGGGGAUAACACUUGGAAACAGGUGCUAAACCGAUACUGAUGGAUGGACCAGCGGUGCAUUAGCUAGUUGGUGAGGUAACGGCUCACCAAGGCCACGAUGCAUAGCCGACCUGAGAGGGUGAUCGGCCACACUGGGACUGAGACACGGCCCAGACUCCUACGGGAGGCAGCAGUGGGGAAUCUUCGGCAAUGGGCGAAAGUCUGACCGAGCAACGCCGCGUGAGUGAAGAAGGUUGUCGGGUCGUAAAACUCUGUUGUUAGAGAAGCGGUAUCUAACCAGAAAGCAACGGCUAACUACGUGCCAGCAGCCGCGGUAAUUC